RNAcentral lists this ribosomal RNA (253 nucleotides) under uncultured bacterium. RNAcentral's name for it is "partial 16S ribosomal RNA". It matches the Rfam family "Bacterial small subunit ribosomal RNA", at positions 524 to 776 of the family's 1533-position model. The record is from RNAcentral.
UACGCAGGGGGCUAGCGUUGCUCGGAAUUACUGGGCGUAAAGCGCACGUAGGCGGCUUUCUAAGUCGGGGGUGAAAUCCUGGAGCUCAACUCCAGAACUGCCUUCGAUACUGGAGAGCUCGAGUCCGGGAGAGGUGAGUGGAACUGCGAGUGUAGAGGUGAAAUUCGUAGAUAUUCGCAAGAACACCAGUGGCGAAGGCGGCUCACUGGCCCGUAACUGACGCUGAGGCACGAAAGCGUGGGGAGCAAACAGG